CCUUACCUGGUCUUGACAUCCACGGAAUUCGGCAGAGAUGCCUUAGUGCCUUCGGGAACCGUGAGACAGGUGCUGCAUGGCUGUCGUCAGCUCGUGUUGUGAAAUGUUGGGUUAAGUCCCGCAACGAGCGCAACCCUUAUCCUUUGUUGCCAGCGGUCCGGCCGGGAACUCAAAGGAGACUGCCAGUGAUAAACUGGAGGAAGGUGGGGAUGACGUCAAGUCAUCAUGGCCCUUACGACCAGGGCUACACACGUGCUACAAUGGCGCAUACAAAGAGAAGCGACCUCGCGAGAGCAAGCGGACCUCAUAAAGUGCGUCGUAGUCCGGAUUGGAGUCUGCAACUCGACUCCAUGAAGUCGGAAUCGCUAGUAAUCGGGAUCAGA
This 383-nucleotide ribosomal RNA is filed under the name Pantoea sp. CAS57. Its description in RNAcentral is "bacterial SSU rRNA". It matches the Rfam family "Bacterial small subunit ribosomal RNA", at positions 969 to 1353 of the family's 1533-position model. The record is from RNAcentral. Lineage: Bacteria; Pseudomonadati; Pseudomonadota; Gammaproteobacteria; Enterobacterales; Erwiniaceae.